This 369-nucleotide long non-coding RNA is filed under the name Anas platyrhynchos platyrhynchos (common mallard). RNAcentral describes it as "lncRNA (ENSAPLG00000022482.1)". Lineage: Eukaryota; Metazoa; Chordata; Aves; Anseriformes; Anatidae. The record is from RNAcentral.
AGGGCUCAUGUGUACCACGAGGAAAGGAAACAUUGUGAGCAUGUACUUGCAUGGACUUACUUCUACAUGGGAGUAGAAUCAGAAGACAACCAUGCUUUGCCAUGCUAUCUGAAGAAAUUACCACCAACUCUGCCCUGCUCCUCUCUGCCACCUUUUCACUGGAUAAUGCUGCUCAUUUAGAUCUGGUGGUGCAUCCUGUACACCAGAUGUAGAGAAGCCAGUAUAUCCAGCCUAGAGUGAACACAUCCUUUCAUUUACUCCCCUUCCUUAAAUAUAGAGCCCAUUUUGAAGUAAAGAGAAGGAAAAUGCUGUGAUUCAUACGGUAUCAAUAUUUACAUCUAUGAGUUCACAGAUUUGUUAAACUGUUUA